UGGGGAAUAUUGCACAAUGGGCGCAAGCCUGAUGCAGCCAUGCCGCGUGUAUGAAGAAGGCCUUCGGGUUGUAAAGUACUUUCAGCGGGGAGGAAGGCGAUAAGGUUAAUAACCUUGUCGAUUGACGUUACCCGCAGAAGAAGCACCGGCUAACUCCGUGCCAGCAGCCGCGGUAAUACGGAGGGUGCAAGCGUUAAUCGGAAUUACUGGGCGUAAAGCGCACGCAGGCGGUCUGUCAAGUCGGAUGUGAAAUCCCCGGGCUCAACCUGGGAACUGCAUUCGAAACUGGCAGGCUAGAGUCUUGUAGAGGGGGGUAGAAUUCCAGGUGUAGCGGUGAAAUGCGUAGAGAUCUGGAGGAAUACCGGUGGCGAAGGCGGCCCCCUCGACAAAGACUGACGCUCAGGUGCGAAAGCGUGGGGAGCAAACA
This 427-nucleotide ribosomal RNA is filed under the name uncultured bacterium. Its description in RNAcentral is "partial 16S ribosomal RNA". It matches the Rfam family "Bacterial small subunit ribosomal RNA", at positions 355 to 774 of the family's 1533-position model. The record is from RNAcentral.